Molecule: ribosomal RNA, 170 nt
Filed under: uncultured bacterium
Lineage: Bacteria
Description: partial 16S ribosomal RNA
Rfam family: Bacterial small subunit ribosomal RNA
Source: RNAcentral
CGCUAGUAAUCGCGGGUCAGCAUACCGCGGUGAAUACGUUCCCGGGCCUUGUACACACCGCCCGUCACACCACGAAAGUUGGUAACACCCGAAGCCGGUGGCCUAACCCUUAGGGGAGGGAGCUGUCGAAGGUGGGACUGAUGAUUGGGGUGAAGUCGUAACAAGGUAAC